ACAAACAUGAUACAAACACAUAAACAAACACACUUAACACAUACAACAUACAGCUCUGCACAUCCCUUUUUUACUUCAUGAAUGGUUCCAACCAUGACGCUUUCAAUCAAGAUUUUUCCCAAAGAAAGUUGAUUAUAUAUAUCUCAUCAAUAACCGUUGACAAGUGCUGAUAAAAAUAAUAAUUAUAAGCAACUUAUUUAAUCUUCGAAUCAAUAGUAGCCACUUAUCCUACAAGGUUAUUGACGUAUAGUGUUUUAUUCCUUGUGAAUUGUUUAUCUUUGGAUAAUAGUAAUGAGGAUGUAUUUUG
This 307-nucleotide long non-coding RNA is filed under the name Phaseolus vulgaris (common bean). RNAcentral describes it as "long non-coding RNA (PVUL_LNC004580)". Lineage: Eukaryota; Viridiplantae; Streptophyta; Magnoliopsida; Fabales; Fabaceae. The record is from RNAcentral.